Molecule: ribosomal RNA, 823 nt
Filed under: Bacillus pumilus
Lineage: Bacteria; Bacillati; Bacillota; Bacilli; Caryophanales; Bacillaceae
Description: bacterial SSU rRNA
Rfam family: Bacterial small subunit ribosomal RNA
Source: RNAcentral
AAGGGAGCUUGCUCCCGGAUGUUAGCGGCGGACGGGUGAGUAACACGUGGGUAACCUGCCUGUAAGACUGGGAUAACUCCGGGAAACCGGAGCUAAUACCGGAUAGUUCCUUGAACCGCAUGGUUCAAGGAUGAAAGACGGUUUCGGCUGUCACUUACAGAUGGACCCGCGGCGCAUUAGCUAGUUGGUGAGGUAACGGCUCACCAAGGCGACGAUGCGUAGCCGACCUGAGAGGGUGAUCGGCCACACUGGGACUGAGACACGGCCCAGACUCCUACGGGAGGCAGCAGUAGGGAAUCUUCCGCAAUGGACGAAAGUCUGACGGAGCAACGCCGCGUGAGUGAUGAAGGUUUUCGGAUCGUAAAGCUCUGUUGUUAGGGAAGAACAAGUGCAAGAGUAACUGCUUGCACCUUGACGGUACCUAACCAGAAAGCCACGGCUAACUACGUGCCAGCAGCCGCGGUAAUACGUAGGUGGCAAGCGUUGUCCGGAAUUAUUGGGCGUAAAGGGCUCGCAGGCGGUUUCUUAAGUCUGAUGUGAAAGCCCCCGGCUCAACCGGGGAGGGUCAUUGGAAACUGGGAAACUUGAGUGCAGAAGAGGAGAGUGGAAUUCCACGUGUAGCGGUGAAAUGCGUAGAGAUGUGGAGGAACACCAGUGGCGAAGGCGACUCUCUGGUCUGUAACUGACGCUGAGGAGCGAAAGCGUGGGGAGCGAACAGGAUUAGAUACCCUGGUAGUCCACGCCGUAAACGAUGAGUGCUAAGUGUUAGGGGGUUUCCGCCCCUUAGUGCUGCAGCUAACGCAUUAAGCACUCCGCCUGGGGA